Molecule: long non-coding RNA, 1404 nt
Organism: Brassica napus (rape)
Lineage: Eukaryota; Viridiplantae; Streptophyta; Magnoliopsida; Brassicales; Brassicaceae
Exons: 4
Source: RefSeq, a predicted model, not a curated record
UCUAAAUUUAUCUGUUGCGCAAAAAAAAAAAAAAAAAAGAAAAAAAAAACAAUCUGUAAUUUCAAUUACAUUAACCUGAUCUUAUUUUAUUAGAUAGAUGAAAAACUAACCUUGGCGACUAAGGGGAGAGAGGCGAGUGAUGACGACGGGGACGAUGAAGAAGGUGUUAAAUCUUGCUAAAGGCGUCGUUAUGUUCAUCAUCUGCGGUGGAGAGCUUAAUCCCCCUGAAGCUUCUAGAUCUCACCGGAGCUAUUCCCGAUGUUACCCAGCCUUUCCAUUAAUUCUUUGAUAAGGAAGCAACAAAACAACUUGUGGGACGAUUUGAAACUUUCCCAUUGCAGAGAACGCUCUCACUUGCGUCUGCUAAGUCUUCUUCUUCGACUUCACUUACAUCUCAAAUCCUCUCAUGGCCAAGGUUGUGUUUUGACUCUUUCCUCUUGCGGACUACACAAUUAUUCCAUUUUCUAUUCAAAGUUUUGUUCUUUAUGCCUAAAUGUUUAGACUUUGUUUCAUUCUUUUCGUUUAAAACUCAUGGAGACUGUUUUUACAAAAAAAAAAAACUCAUGGAGACUGUUGAGACUGUUGAUUACCUGUUAUUGGACAUGGUAGCAGUGGCAUCAAGGUGGACCUUUGAGCUGAACCUUCAACUAUUAGCAAUAGUAAGCAAGCCUCUACUACAAGUCUACAACUCUAAAUGGCGCCCCAAGAAAAAGAAAAUCGAAGAUAAAUCUUCUUCAACCUUUUAGAGGUCUCUGGAUAUAUUAGUUUGAAAACCAUUCCUAAGCCGGAACAUUCUGAUACUGUCAUUUAAUAGACUGAUACUAAAGAGAUUCCUGGUUAUCAUGAGAUUAUCACGAAUCAGACGAAUUUUAGCACACUGUAGAAGCAAUUAGACUCGGGAGCUUAUUCCGGGUUCGAAAAAUUUGAGUGCAGGGUGCAAACAUAAGUCUGUUUCAAAAGUUAUGCUUAACUUGAAGAACUAUGGGUCUAUUUAAAUUCAAAUUUGUCUCCCAGUUUGAGUACAUAUCAAACGUGUGGAGAUUGGUGUUUGAAUAGCUACUGUCCUUCUCGGCGUAGGCAACAAGAAUUUGCGAAGAACCACAUGACCAGCAACCAAAAGUUGCUAAAAGAAGUCGUCCACAGGAGACAUCAUGAACCUUCUUUAGUUGACUUCAAAAAUUUCAGCUGAUGCGCUCUAUCCAGGAGGAUAUACGUCAUAUAACUCUAAUAAGUUUUAGUGCUUGCACCAAUUUGUGGAUAAAAUAUUUAAUUAUUUUAUUUAUAUAAAGCAAAUAAAAUAAAUUAGGCGCGCAGUCAGAUCCUAGUUAUUUUUAAAAAGAACUGCAUAACAAUCACUGGCUGUACACACCUUAAAGGGUUGAAUAAUUCCGCUAGUGGCCAGCA